Molecule: non-coding RNA, 23 nt
Filed under: Arabidopsis thaliana (thale cress)
Lineage: Eukaryota; Viridiplantae; Streptophyta; Magnoliopsida; Brassicales; Brassicaceae
Source: RNAcentral
GAGCACAAAGAGUUAACGGCGAU